UAGUAUCAGCCACAAGCUGGUGCUAUCUAGAAGUGUAGAUGGCUAAAAGGGAAUCCGGUGUGAAUCCGGAACUGACGCGCAGCGGUAAAAGAGAACAAACACCCAUAAGACACUGCAUGAUGGAAAUGUGCGGGAAGUCGGGUUAGUAGGCUAACAGCUCUUAAGUCCGAAUACCUGCCAGCAACUGAGCUCAAUC
This 196-nucleotide non-coding RNA is filed under the name Vibrio nereis. Lineage: Bacteria; Pseudomonadati; Pseudomonadota; Gammaproteobacteria; Vibrionales; Vibrionaceae. The record is from RNAcentral.